GUAGAACACUUCGGUGUUUGAGACCGGCGCACGGGUGCGUAACGCGUAUGCAAUCUACCUUGUACAGGGGAAUAGCCCAGAGAAAUUUGGAUUAAUGCCCCAUAGUAUAUAACCUUCGCAUGUUGGUUAUAUUAAAGUUCCAACGGUACAAGAUGAGCAUGCGUCCCAUUAGUUAGUUGGUAAGGUAACGGCUUACCAAGACGAUGAUGGGUAGGGGUCCUGAGAGGGAGAUCCCCCACACUGGUACUGAGACACGGACCAGACUCCUACGGGAGGCAGCAGUGAGGAAUAUUGGUCAAUGGUCGCAAGACUGAACCAGCCAUGCCGCGUGCAGGAAGACGGUCCUAUGGAUUGUAAACUGCUUUUAUACAGGAAGAAACCCUCCCACGUGUGGGAGCUUGACGGUACUGUAGGAAUAAGGAUCGGCUAACUCCGUGCCAGCAGCCGCGGUAAUACGGAGGAUCCAAGCGUUAUCCGGAAUCAUUGGGUUUAAAGGGUCCGUAGGCGGUCUUAUAAGUCAGUGGUGAAAGCCCAUCGCUCAACGAUGGAACUGCCAUUG
RNAcentral lists this ribosomal RNA (559 nucleotides) under uncultured Bacteroidota bacterium. RNAcentral's name for it is "bacterial SSU rRNA". It matches the Rfam family "Bacterial small subunit ribosomal RNA", at positions 68 to 629 of the family's 1533-position model. Lineage: Bacteria; Pseudomonadati; Bacteroidota. The record is from RNAcentral.